RNAcentral lists this small RNA (183 nucleotides) under Arabidopsis thaliana (thale cress). Its description in RNAcentral is "ATSL054890". Lineage: Eukaryota; Viridiplantae; Streptophyta; Magnoliopsida; Brassicales; Brassicaceae. The record is from RNAcentral.
UAAUUAUUAAUUUAUGAUAUUGAUGAGACCAUAUAUUUAUAUAGGAUUUUCAAAAAAAUUAUUAUCUUAUUAAUUUAUCGAUUUGUGUCACUUUUUAUACUGAUCCCAACUCGGAACCAAAAACAUUUCUUAAUUUAUAGAGAUUAUUAAUUUAUCGAGUAUUAAUUUAUAGAGGUUUUACUA